This 374-nucleotide ribosomal RNA is filed under the name uncultured eukaryote. Its description in RNAcentral is "partial 18S ribosomal RNA". It matches the Rfam family "Eukaryotic small subunit ribosomal RNA", at positions 592 to 976 of the family's 1831-position model. The record is from RNAcentral.
CAAUAGCGUAUAUUUAAGUUGUUGCAGUUAAAAAGCUCGUAGUUGGAUUUCUGCUGAUCGCUGUCGGUCUGCCGUCAGGUGUGUACUGGCAGUGUUUGGCAUCUAUUCGAGAUUGGGUGUCCACUUGAUUGUGUGCACUCGAUGUCGGAGCUAAUACUUUGAGAAAAUUAGAGUGUCCCACGCAGGCGCGUGCCUUGAAUACUGCAGCAUGGGAUAUUGGAAGGCCGAUUGAGCUUUCUUGUUGGUUCUCGGUUUGAUCGGAAUGAUUAAUAGGGAUAGUUGGGGGCAUUCGUAUUCAACUGUCAGAGGUGAAAUUCUUGGAUUUGUUGAAGACGGACUACUGCGAAAGCAUCUGCCAUGGAUGUUCUCAUUGA